AACGAACGCUGGCGGCGCGCCUAACACAUGCAAGUCGAACGAGAAUCCGGGGCAACCCGGUAGUAAAGUGGCAAACGGGUGAGGAAUACAUGGGUAACCUACCCUUGAGAAGGGAAUAACCCGCCGAAAGGUGAGCUAAUACCCUAUACGCUAUCUUUUUUUCGAAAAGGAUAGGAAAGCCGGGUCGAGGACCUGGUACUCAAGGAGGGGCUCAUGUCCUAUCAGCUUGUUGGUGGGGUAACGGCCUACCAAGGCUACGACGGGUAGCUGGUCUGAGAGGAUGAUCAGCCACACUGGCACUGAGAUACGGGCCAGACUCCUACGGGAGGCAGCAGUGAGGAAUAUUGCGCAAUGGGCGAAAGCCUGACGCAGCGA
Molecule: ribosomal RNA, 375 nt
Filed under: uncultured bacterium
Lineage: Bacteria
Description: bacterial SSU rRNA
Rfam family: Bacterial small subunit ribosomal RNA
Source: RNAcentral